GGCAGAUGGACGUGAGCAGGAGCACUGCAGAACUGGCAGAAUCUCACAUGAUAUUGAAUUUACUGGCUAGAGAAGGGCUGCAGACUAGAGAAAACAGAAAAAAUGCUGAGAAGGCAAAAUAAGAGGAGACUCACAGCAGAACUUUCUACAAACAUCCUGCCACGUCAGCUCCUCUGUUCCUCUCAUUACUUCAAGUUUCAGGAUAAAGAGAGGCCAGUUUUUAUUCACCUUUUUAUGCACACAAUGUAAAGAAGACACCAAAGAGGAGACCAG
Molecule: non-coding RNA, 273 nt
Organism: Lonchura striata (white-rumped munia)
Lineage: Eukaryota; Metazoa; Chordata; Aves; Passeriformes; Estrildidae
Source: RefSeq, a predicted model, not a curated record